GAUGAACGCUGGCGGCGUGCCUAAUACAUGCAAGUCGAGCGAACAGACGAGGAGCUUGCUCCUCUGACGUUAGCGGCGGACGGGUGAGUAACACGUGGAUAACCUACCUAUAAGACUGGGAUAACUUCGGGAAACCGGAGCUAAUACCGGAUAAUAUAUUGAACCGCAUGGUUCAAUAGUGAAAGACGGUUUUGCUGUCACUUAUAGAUGGAUCCGCGCCGCAUUAGCUAGUUGGUAAGGUAACGGCUUACCAAGGCAACGAUGCGUAGCCGACCUGAGAGGGUGAUCGGCCACACUGGAACUGAGACACGGUCCAGACUCCUAAGGGAGGCAGCAGUAGGGAAUCUUCCGCAAUGGGCGAAAGCUUGACGGGGCAACGCCGCGUGAGUGAUGAAGGUCUUCGGAUCGUAAAACUCUGUUAUUAGGGAAGAACAAAUGUGUAAGUAACUAUGCACGUCUUGACGGUACCUAAUCAGAAAGCCACGGCUAACUACGUG
This 497-nucleotide ribosomal RNA is filed under the name uncultured bacterium. RNAcentral's name for it is "partial 16S ribosomal RNA". It matches the Rfam family "Bacterial small subunit ribosomal RNA", at positions 28 to 507 of the family's 1533-position model. The record is from RNAcentral.